Molecule: long non-coding RNA, 337 nt
Filed under: Felis catus (domestic cat)
Lineage: Eukaryota; Metazoa; Chordata; Mammalia; Carnivora; Felidae
Description: lncRNA (ENSFCAG00000047856.1)
Source: RNAcentral
GAAAAUACCAUGAUAACCAAAGCUGCCGCAGUAAUAUAAACAGACUGAAUAGAGCAACUUCUCAGUUUGCUGUAACAGAGGGAGAAAAUGGCCCAGCUCAUUUACUCAGACACCAAAGAGACAUCUCAGCUCUAUAAAGUCAGCUCUGAAAACACAAAGGUUAAAAACUACGAUUUGUGGUUUAAGAUACAAGAAUGUUUUCUCUUCAGAUUGACUGGGAAGACUUUCUCUUCAGACGGACAGAACUUAUAAAAGUAAGUUCCAAUCUAUUACGUCUAAUUUCAUUUCCUUUCUCAAAGACAAGUAACCGAGAAAUAAAAACCACAGUCAGGGCUCA